This 372-nucleotide ribosomal RNA is filed under the name uncultured Glomeromycotina. RNAcentral's name for it is "SSU rRNA". It matches the Rfam family "Eukaryotic small subunit ribosomal RNA", at positions 569 to 947 of the family's 1831-position model. Lineage: Eukaryota; Fungi; Glomeromycota. The record is from RNAcentral.
AGCAGCCGCGGUAAUUCCAGCUCCAAUAGCGUAUAUUAAAGUUGUUGCAGUUAAAAAGCUCGUAGUUGAAUUUCGGGGUUCUACCAUUGGUCGGGCAAUAGUCUGUACUGGUGUGUAGAAUUUCUACCUUCUGGGGAACUAUCAUGUUAUUUAUUUAGCGUGGUAGGAAACCAGGACCUUUACCUUGAAAAAAUUAGAGUGUUCAAAGCAGGCUUACGUCUGAAUACAUUAGCAUGGAAUAAUAAAAAUAGGACGGUGGCCCUGUUUUGUUGGUUUCUGAAUCACCGUAAUGAUUAAUAGGGAUAGUUGGGGGCAUUAGUAUUCAAUUGUCAGAGGUGAAAUUCUUGGAUUUAUUGAAGACUAACUUCUGCG